Molecule: long non-coding RNA, 297 nt
Filed under: Solanum tuberosum (potato)
Lineage: Eukaryota; Viridiplantae; Streptophyta; Magnoliopsida; Solanales; Solanaceae
Description: long non-coding RNA (STUB_LNC009011)
Source: RNAcentral
AAAUCAAACAGGCAGCUUAAUUGAUUAAAUUUAAUAUAAUAAUGUAUAAAAUAUAAAGUUGCAAAUUUCAAAUAGGAAAAGAGAAUGCUUCCACGUGGCAGCAGUGGAACACCUUCAGAUUGUUGAAGUCGUGCAGAAUUGAGGCGGUUGGACAGUUCACGCAUACAACUGGGAAAUCCAAUUCCGUUUGGUUUUGGGUUUCUAAUUUGAUUUGGACUCAAUUAUUUUAUUUAGGGUUUCUUACCUUUAUAAAUAGUUCAUAGAAAUAAUUAUUUUGGAGAUUAGGUAGGGGGGAAG